GAUGAACGCUGGCGGCGUGCCUAAUACAUGCAAGUCGAGCGAACUGAUUAGAAGCUUGCUUCUAUGACGUUAGCGGCGGACGGGUGAGUAACACGUGGGCAACCUGCCUGUAAGACUGGGAUAACUUCGGGAAACCGAAGCUAAUACCGGAUAGGAUCUUCUCCUUCAUGGGAGAUGAUUGAAAGAUGGUUUCGGCUAUCACUUACAGAUGGGCCCGCGGUGCAUUAGCUAGUUGGUGAGGUAACGGCUCACCAAGGCAACGAUGCAUAGCCGACAUGAGAGGGUGAUCGGCCACACUGGGACUGAGACACGGCCCAGACUCCUACGGGAGGCAGCAGUAGGGAAUCUUCCGCAAUGGACGAAAGUCUGACGGAGCAACGCCGCGUGAGCGAUGAAGGCUUUCGGGUCGUAAAACUCUGUUGUUAGGGAAGAACAAGUACGAGAGUAACUGCUCGUACCUUGACGGUACCUAACCAGAAAGCCACGGCUAACUACGUGCCAGCAGCCGCGGUAA
RNAcentral lists this ribosomal RNA (514 nucleotides) under uncultured bacterium. RNAcentral describes it as "partial 16S ribosomal RNA". It matches the Rfam family "Bacterial small subunit ribosomal RNA", at positions 28 to 523 of the family's 1533-position model. The record is from RNAcentral.